This 253-nucleotide ribosomal RNA is filed under the name uncultured bacterium. RNAcentral's name for it is "partial 16S ribosomal RNA". It matches the Rfam family "Bacterial small subunit ribosomal RNA", at positions 524 to 776 of the family's 1533-position model. The record is from RNAcentral.
UACGAAGGGUGCAAGCGUUGCUCGGAAUUAUUGGGCGUAAAGCGCACGUAGGCGGCUUGGCAAGUCGGAUGUGAAAGCCCUCGGCUCAACCAAGGAAGUGCAUUCGAAACUGCUGAGCUUGAGUACUUAAGAGGAGCGCGGAAUUCCCGGUGUAGAGGUGAAAUUCGUAGAUAUCGGGAGGAACACCAGUGGCGAAGGCGGCGAUCUGGGAAGAUACUGACGCUGAGGUGCGAAAGCGUGGGGAGCAAACAGG